GAUGAACGCUGGCGGCGUGCCUAAUACAUGCAAGUCGAGCGAACAGACGAGGAGCUUGCUCCUCUGAUGUUAGCGGCGGACGGGUGAGUAACACGUGGAUAACCUACCUAUAAGACUGGGAUAACUUCGGGAAACCGGAGCUAAUACCGGAUAACAUGUUGAACCUCAUGGUUCAACAGUGAAAGACGGUCUUGCUGUCACUUAUAGAUGGAUCCGCGCCGCAUUAGCUAGUUGGUAAGGUAACGGCUUACCAAGGCAACGAUGCGUAGCCGACCUGAGAGGGUGAUCGGCCACACUGGAACUGAGACACGGUCCAGACUACUACGGGAGGCAGCAGUAGAGAAUCUUCCGCAAUGGGCGAAAGCCUGACGGAGCAACGCCGCGUGAGUGAAGAAGGUCUUCGGAUCGUAAAACUCUGUUAUUAGGGAAGAACAAAUGUGUAAGUAACUAUGCACGUCUUGACGGUACCGAAUCAGAAAGCCACGGCUAACUACGUG
This 497-nucleotide ribosomal RNA is filed under the name uncultured bacterium. Its description in RNAcentral is "partial 16S ribosomal RNA". It matches the Rfam family "Bacterial small subunit ribosomal RNA", at positions 28 to 507 of the family's 1533-position model. The record is from RNAcentral.